GUGGUAAUUUAUAAAGGUCACGGAAAAGACGUUACAUUUUUAAUAAAAAAUUUAAGUGGUUUUAAAGCUGUUUUCAGAAUGUCUUCAAAACGCAAAAUUAUAUGUUGUACGCAAUAUUAAAUUUAUACGCGCAAAAGAUUUCAUGAUUGAUUUGGCUGAGAAUAUGGUAGAAUACGGAAAAGAUAUAACGGAAAACAAAAGAAGACCUGUGAAUCCAAUGCCACCUACUGAAGGUG
This 236-nucleotide unclassified non-coding RNA is filed under the name Melitaea cinxia (Glanville fritillary). RNAcentral's name for it is "misc RNA ENSMCXG00005016083.1". Lineage: Eukaryota; Metazoa; Arthropoda; Insecta; Lepidoptera; Nymphalidae. The record is from RNAcentral.